UUACCGGCUUGACAUUUACGAAAGUGUUAGCAACAGGUGCUGCAUGGCUGUCGUCAGCUCGUGUCGUGAGAUGUUCGGUUAAGUCCGGCAACGAGCGCAACCCCGUUCCAGUUGCCAGCGUACGGGACUCUGGAAGACAAACCUCUUGUUAGGUGGGAAGGUGGGGACGACGUCAAGUCAGUAUGGCCCUUACGCCGGGCUGCACACGUGCUACAAUGCGGCACAUGGGGCAUCGCGAGAUGAGCAAUCCACAACCGGCCCAGUUCGGAUUGGAGUCUGCAACUCGACUCCAUGAAGUUGGAAUCGCUAGUAAUGGCGAUCAGCAUGCGCCGUGAAUACGUUCCCGGGCCUUGUACACACCGCCCGUCACAUCAUGAAAGCCGGUCGCCGAA
This 392-nucleotide ribosomal RNA is filed under the name uncultured bacterium. Its description in RNAcentral is "bacterial SSU rRNA". It matches the Rfam family "Bacterial small subunit ribosomal RNA", at positions 971 to 1425 of the family's 1533-position model. The record is from RNAcentral.